Molecule: ribosomal RNA, 250 nt
Filed under: uncultured bacterium
Lineage: Bacteria
Description: partial 16S ribosomal RNA
Rfam family: Bacterial small subunit ribosomal RNA
Source: RNAcentral
UACGUAGGGGGCAAGCGUUAUCCGGAUUUACUGGGUGUAAAGGGAGCGUAGGCGGCAAUACAAGUCAGAAGUGAAAACCCAAGGCUCAACCAUGGGACUGCUUUUGAAACUGUGUUGCUAGAGUACAGGAGAGGUAAGCGGAAUUCCUAGUGUAGCGGUGAAAUGCGUAGAUAUUAGGAGGAACAUCAGUGGCGAAGGCGGCUUACUGGACUGAAACUGACGCUGAUGCUCGAAAGCGUGGGGAGCAAAC